RNAcentral lists this ribosomal RNA (422 nucleotides) under uncultured bacterium. RNAcentral's name for it is "bacterial SSU rRNA". It matches the Rfam family "Bacterial small subunit ribosomal RNA", at positions 355 to 774 of the family's 1533-position model. The record is from RNAcentral.
UGAGGAAUCUUGCGCAAUGGGGGAAACCCUGACGCAGCCACGCCGCGUGGAGGAAGACGGCCCUACGGGUUGUAAACUCCUUUUCUGGCCGAAGAACCCGGUCCUUUCGGGGACCGCUGACGGUAGGUCAGGAAUAAGCACCGGCUAACUCCGUGCCAGCAGCCGCGGUAAUACGGAGGGUGCAAGCGUUGUCCGGAAUCAUUGGGUGUAAAGGGUACGCAGGCGGGCGUCUGCGUCCGGGGUGAAAUCCUGCCGCUUAACGGUAGAAGGGCCUCGGAUACGAGACGUCUUGAGACCAGCAGAGGCUGGCGGAAUUCGUGGUGUAGCGGUGAAAUGCAUAGAUAUCACGAAGAACACCAGUGGCGAAAGCGGCCAGCUGGGCUGGAUCUGACGCUGAGGUACGAAAGCGUGGGGAGCAAACA